Molecule: ribosomal RNA, 274 nt
Filed under: uncultured bacterium
Lineage: Bacteria
Description: partial 16S ribosomal RNA
Rfam family: Bacterial small subunit ribosomal RNA
Source: RNAcentral
AUACGGAGGGUGCAAGCGUUAUUCGGAAUCACUGGGCGUAAAGGACGCGUAGGCGGGUUUGUAAGUCAGGUGUGAAAUCCUACAGCUUAACUGUAGAACUGUACUUGAAACUACAGACCUAGAGUAUGGGAGGGGCAGAUGGAAUUAGUGGUGUAGGGGUAAAAUCCGUAGAUAUCACUAGGAAUACCGAAAGCGAAGGCGAUCUGCUGGAACAUAACUGACGCUAAGGCGUGAAAGCGUGGGGAGCAAACAGGAUUAGAAACCCUAGUAGUCC